GAUCCUGGCUCAGGAUGAACGCUGGCGGCGUGCUUAACACAUGCAAGUCGAACGAAGCAUUUAAGACAGAUUUUUUCGGAAUGAAGUUUUUUAUGACUGAGUGGCGGACGGGUGAGUAACGCGUGGGUAACCUGCCUCACACAGGGGGAUAGCAGUUGGAAACGACUGGUAAUACCGCAUAAGCGCACAGCUUCGCAUGAAGCGGUGUGAAAAACUCCGGUGGUGUGAGAUGGACCCGCGUCUGAUUAGGUAGUUGGUGAGGUAACGGCCCACCAAGCCGACGAUCAGUAGCCGACCUGAGAGGGUGACCGGCCACAUUGGGACUGAGACACGGCCCAGACUCCUACGGGAGGCAGCAGUGGGGAAUAUUGCACAAUGGAGGAAACUCUGAUGCAGCGACGCCGCGUGAGUGAAGAAGUAUUUCGGUAUGUAAAGCUCUAUCAGCAGGGAAGACAGUGACGGUACCUGACUAAGAAGCUCCGGCUAAAUACGUGCCAGCAGCCGCGGUAAUACGUAUGGAGCAAGCGUUAUCCGGAUUUACUGGGUGUAAAGGGAGUGUAGGUGGUAUCACAAGUCAGAAGUGAAAGCCCGGGGCUCAACCCCGGGACUGCUUUUGAAACUGUGGAACUGGAGUGCAGGAGAGGUAAGUGGAAUUCCUAGUGUAGCGGUGAAAUGCGUAGAUAUUAGGAGGAACACCAGUGGCGAAGGCGGCUUACUGGACUGUAACUGACACUGAGGCUCGAAAGCGUGGGGAGCAAACAGGAUUAGAUACCCUGGUAGUCCACACGGUAAACGAUGAAUACUCGCUGUUUGCGAUAUACAGCAAGCGGCCAAGCGAAAGCGUUAAGUAUUCCACCUGGGGAGCACGCCGGCAACGGUGAAAC
RNAcentral lists this ribosomal RNA (884 nucleotides) under uncultured bacterium. RNAcentral's name for it is "bacterial SSU rRNA". It matches the Rfam family "Bacterial small subunit ribosomal RNA", at positions 15 to 900 of the family's 1533-position model. The record is from RNAcentral.